This 615-nucleotide ribosomal RNA is filed under the name Klebsiella pneumoniae. RNAcentral describes it as "partial 23S ribosomal RNA". It matches the Rfam family "Bacterial large subunit ribosomal RNA", at positions 2230 to 2839 of the family's 2925-position model. The record is from RNAcentral. Lineage: Bacteria; Pseudomonadati; Pseudomonadota; Gammaproteobacteria; Enterobacterales; Enterobacteriaceae.
GGCCCCUGACCGGGGUUGCGGACAGUGUCUGGUGGGUAGUUUGACUGGGGCGGUCUCCUCCCAAAGCGUAACGGAGGAGCACGAAGGUUAGCUAAUCCUGGUCGGACAUCAGGAGGUUAGUGCAAUGGCAUAAGCUAGCUUGACUGCGAGCGUGACGGCGCGAGCAGGUGCGAAAGCAGGUCAUAGUGAUCCGGUGGUUCUGAAUGGAAGGGCCAUCGCUCAACGGAUAAAAGGUACUCCGGGGAUAACAGGCUGAUACCGCCCAAGAGUUCAUAUCGACGGCGGUGUUUGGCACCUCGAUGUCGGCUCAUCACAUCCUGGGGCUGAAGUAGGUCCCAAGGGUAUGGCUGUUCGCCAUUUAAAGUGGUACGCGAGCUGGGUUUAGAACGUCGUGAGACAGUUCGGUCCCUAUCUGCCGUGGGCGCUGGAGAAUUGAGGGGGGCUGCUCCUAGUACGAGAGGACCGGAGUGGACGCAUCACUGGUGUUCGGGUUGUCAUGCCAAUGGCACUGCCCGGUAGCUAAAUGCGGAAGAGAUAAGUGCUGAAAGCAUCUAAGCACGAAACUUGCCCCGAGAUGAGUUCUCCCUGAGACUUUAAGUCUCCUGAAGGAACGUU